RNAcentral lists this ribosomal RNA (253 nucleotides) under uncultured bacterium. RNAcentral describes it as "partial 16S ribosomal RNA". It matches the Rfam family "Bacterial small subunit ribosomal RNA", at positions 524 to 776 of the family's 1533-position model. The record is from RNAcentral.
UACAGAGGGGGCAAGCGUUGUUCGGAAUUACUGGGCGUAAAGGGCGCGUAGGCGGCCUGUUAAGUCGAACGUGAAAUCCCCGGGCUCAACCCGGGAACUGCGUCCGAUACUGGCAGGCUUGAAUCCGGGAGAGGGGUGCGGAAUUCCAGGUGUAGCGGUGAAAUGCGUAGAUAUCUGGAGGAACACCGGUGGCGAAGGCGGCAUCCUGGACCGGCAUUGACGCUGAGGCGCGAAAGCCAGGGGAGCAAACGGG